This 119-nucleotide ribosomal RNA is filed under the name Gigantopelta aegis. Lineage: Eukaryota; Metazoa; Mollusca; Gastropoda; Neomphalida; Peltospiridae. The record is from RNAcentral.
GUCUACGGCCAUACCACGUUGAAAGCACCGGUUCUCGUCCGAUCACCGAAGUUAAGCAACGUCGGGCCCGGUUAGUACUUGGAUGGGUGACCGCUUGGGAACACCGGGUAUUGUAGACA